Molecule: RNA transcript, 1252 nt
Organism: Morus notabilis
Lineage: Eukaryota; Viridiplantae; Streptophyta; Magnoliopsida; Rosales; Moraceae
Gene name: RNA-binding protein 48
Exons: 10
Source: RefSeq, a predicted model, not a curated record
AAUUAUAGAUGAACGACGACGUCUGAUUGAAUUAAAACGAAUAAAUCACGAGGAGAGUCUCCGACGGAAACCACCGCCACUUUUCACCGGUAAUUGCUUUCUAAAUCCUUAAAUGCCUCGAUAUAAAGAUGAGCCUCCAGCUGUUCGCGUUUACACUGUCUGCGAUGAAUCCAGAUAUUUAAUUGUACGGAACGUUCCGGCGUUAGGAUGCGGUGAUGAGUUGCUAAGAUUAUUUUCAACCUAUGGAGACGUAGAAGAGUGUAAACCAAUGGAUGCAGAGGACUGUGAGAAAUUUACUGACGUUUACUGGAUCAAAUUUCGUUCGGUCAGCAAUGCUAGGUUCGCAAAGAGAAAAUUGGAUGAGUACGUUUUCCUUGGCAACCGGUUGAAUGUUUCCUAUGCACCGCAUUUCGAGACCCUCUCCGACACCAAGGAAAAACUAGAAUCUAGGAGGAAGGAAGUCUUGGCUAGAUCAAACUCUGGAAGAUCCAAAGAUUCUGUUGUUGGAAAGUCUGGUUCUUUGGCUGAGGCUUCUUUCGAAGCAAGCCCUUCACUGGCAGGCCUUCCCCAACAAGUAAACACUGGUAAAAGGAAUAGUGGAGAACGAGAACUUAUGUCCCACCUUCGUCAUGCUCCAAUGACAAGAGUUUCCUCUGACAAGGAGUACUUCCCGUCUCAAUCAAUGAAUCAGACUGUUAAGUCCGUAAGGGAGAAGCUCAAUAAGACUCAAUCAAGUGGUGAGCAUAUACAACAUGGUUCUGCAUCCAAGAAACCCCGUUUCGAUGAUAGAAGAAGAAGAAUCUGACACCAACAUCUAAAAAUUUUGGUUGAAUCUCUUAUAUCACCUUAAUUUUGAUAAGAUGCGGAACUAUAUCGUGCGGCAUCUGCAAGGAAAACAUUCUCAAGACGAAAGUACUCUUCAACUGUUGUCUCGAGAAUACGUGGAUUUUUGGUGUUUUACAAGUCAAUGGCGUGUGAAAAUUGAUGGCUCAAAAUUCAUAUGAUUUAGACUUUGACGGUCAAAUUUUCAAAUUGGAUGCCUCUCUGGCUUAUUUUGCCCUUAAAUCACUCUUUUUUUGAUAUCAUCUGCCCAUGGACAUGCCAUUUUGGAUUUCAUGACAUGUAAAAGAAACCGCCCUUCUAUGGUGCCUUCACUUCGGCUGUGUCGGUUGACAAGUUUAUCGUAAUUUUACUAACUUCAAUAUUCAAAGUUCCGCAAAUAUACUGCUCAAAUGUACAAAUUAUUGCAUUC